UCGAUGCGCGGGGGCGCUGCAGCAUCACGGAGCGGUGCCGGCUCUGCGCCCUCGGUCUUCCCCCUCCCGCCCUCCUUCCUCAGCUUCCCGUUCCCUCCCCCCGCCCGCCCUGCGCAGCCAGCAGGGAUUGCUGCCCGGAGCUCCUCCGGAGCCUCAGGUGGCAAAUUCUUACUCAGUGGGAAAUAGAAAGUGCUUGUGAGCAGAAAGCAUGCCUCCCAAGUUCAAGAGACACCUAAAUGAUGAUGAUGUCACUGGGUCUGUGAAAAGUGAGAGGAGAAAUCUUUUGGAAGAUGAUUCAGAUGAAGAAGAGGACUUUUUUCUACGGGGACCAUCUGGACCAAGAUUUGGGCCUAGAAAUGAUAAAAUUAAGCAUGUUCAGAAUCAGGUGGAUGAAGUUAUUGAUGUAAUGCAAGAAAAUAUUACAAAGGUAAUUGAAAGAGGAGAGAGACUAGAUGAACUGCAGGACAAAUCAGAAAGCUUAUCGGAUAAUGCAACCGCUUUCAGCAACAGAUCCAAACAACUCCGAAGGCAAAUGUGGUGGCGUGGGUGCAAAAUAAAAGCCAUCAUGGCUUUGGCUGCAGCUAUCCUUUUGCUAAUGAUUAUCAUUCUUAUAGUUGUGAAAAACCGUACUUGAUUUGGUGACAGAGAUCCUCAUUAAACAAGAUCUGGGACAAUAAUAAUUAAAGAUUGCUGCAUAAUUUAAAUGAAACCUAUGUAUAUAACUUUCAAAUUUUCUUUAUCAAGAGACUAAAAGCUCAGAUCAUCCUGCACUUGAAAAAAUGAAGUUUUACCACCAUCAAAACUAUCAUUAUUUAACAACAAUGAAGAUCAACAGACAAAUCCAAGUAGCUUUGCUAAUGUUAGUUGAUGCCCAGUGAAAUCAGGUCACUACUCCUGUGCCUGAAGUGCGCCCGCCCUUGUGAUUUGUCCAUAACAGAAGCCUCUUCCCUUGCAGCAGUUUGUGAUGAACGGGUCCUUCCUCCUGGUCACAACUCAGUGGCACCUGUGGCCUUUGGUUCCUUUGUCCUAACAAAACCCAUUGGAAAUUGUCCCAAAAUGUUAUAAAUUGGGAAAUUUACAGAUUCAAAGAAGGCCCAGUAUUGAUGACAGAACAUUGUUUAAAAUGGAGAAAGAGUAAUACAUGUCAGGUACAGGGGAUCCUAUGACUGUCACUACAAUUCAUUCCAGGACUCUCUGUUAGAAAGUACUGUUGGCCUUUUAAUAGCAGAAUCGACGUGUUCUGGGUAGCAUGCGGGUACCUUGUAGAUACACACAUACACAGGGUGAGGAUCAGACAUGGAAAGAGCUUGAUAUCUCACCUUGCCACUUCCACAUGUUCUGUGUCCUUGUCAGCACAGUAGCCCAGACAGACUUGUAUUCACGUCUUGUAUAUGCUUUAUGAUUAGAGAAUCUGCAAGAAGUCUUCUCAGUGUUGAACAUAAAUGUCAUUAGUCGUAUUGAGUCAGAGUGUUACUAAGUUAAGAACUAUACUAUCAAUCAAAUUUUUUGUUUUCACAUAAAAAUGUUAUUAGAGUCAGUUUCACUUUUCUGUGAAUGGCACUAAGAACACAAGUCAAUCUAAACACGUUUUGGGAAGGCAGUUGCAAUAGAACAAUGUAAAGACAAUGGGUUAGAAGGAGCAACAAAGGGCCAUCUUAGUCCAUACAUGCCACCCUCCCUUAGACUGAUGGAAUCUGAGCCUGUUUUAUGUGUCUUAUUUUUGGGACUAUGUGACCCAAGCUGGCCUCAAACUCACAGAGAGCCACCGGCCUCUGCCUCUUAAGUGCUGGGAUUAAAGGUAUGUGCCACCAUGCCCCGCAGGCUUUUUCUUUUUGAUCAAAGAAAGAAUUCUUGGGCUCAAGUGAUCUUUCCAACUUAGCCUCAAAAGUAGCUGAAACUACACGGCACCACCAUAUGCAGAUAGGUCUUCUCUUUAAUCUGGUGUUAGUCUUACUCGGAUACUUACUUUCAUGUCAAGUAGAAUAAGGAAUGGGUGCACACUUAUUCUGGCUCUUGUUUUAUUUUACAAAGUAAGUACAGAUGAAAAGAAAACAUUGCUAAUCCAGUUGGGAUAAGUGUAAGCUUGUGAAGCAAGGACCAUGUCCUGUUGUUUCUCUCAGCAUUGCAUACCCUGGCAGAUGCUGGACAAAGGGAGGAGGGCAGACUAGGGUGGGGCUGUGCUCCAGAAGUCACACCGUUCUGGUGAGAGCUGAUUUCCAGUGUGUACUGACAGGUGACAUGAGUGUUGUAGGUGAUUACCUAGAGAUAAACAUGUUUUUGUUAUAAUUGAGUAUAGAAAAAUUCUGGUUUUACGGUGUUGAAUUAGCUUCUUUUCACUGGAAAAGAUUUUGAAAUAAAAUCAUAUUAAAGCUGUAAAUUGCAUAUGUCUGAGGAUUUAGUAAAAUAUUAGUGAUAAGAAAAUUCAAGCAUUGUUGUUAUGUCUUAGUUAUAUGUCAUUAUUUUACAUCCCAAAAUCCCUGAUUUAAAUUUUGGCAAGUGCCUUUGGCAUUUAAGGGGUAUGAUGGGAAAUGAGCAAAUUAGAUGCCAUGCUCCUUUUCCUGGCUUCUCAAUUCCUCAUGACCAUUUAUGUUUUACAGUGCUACAAAGUUCAGUCCUUUGUUUUCGUAUGAAAUGUAUUUGUAGCUUCUCCAUAGUAAACAGCAAAAUAAACCAUUUUGUAGAAAAUGAAAA
This is an RNA transcript of Mesocricetus auratus (golden hamster), 2691 nucleotides long. It is a transcript of the gene named vesicle associated membrane protein 4, with no coding region annotated. The record is from RefSeq and is a predicted model, not a curated record. NCBI's taxonomy places the organism in Eukaryota, Metazoa, Chordata, Mammalia, Rodentia, Cricetidae. The transcript is spliced from 9 exons.